AUGGCGGCUUCCCUGGGUGCGGGCGGAGGAGCGGGAACCGGAGCCGGAGAUGAUGACUUUGAUCAGUUUGAUAAGCCUGGUGCAGAACGGUCUUGGAGAAGAAGAACUGGGGAUGAUGACUGGGACAGUGAACUUGAAGAUGAUUUGCUUGGAGAAGAUUUGCUGUCUGGCAAAAAGAAUCAGUCAGACUUGUCAGAUGAAGAACUGAAUGAUGAUCUUUUGCAGAGCGAUAAUGAAGAUGAACUAAAUUUCAGUUCUCAGGGUGUCACAAUUAGUCUUAACACUACAUCUGGCAUGGUUACAUCAUUUGAACUCUCCGACAAUACUAAUGAUCAAUCUGUAGAACAUGAAUCGGAAUAUGAACAAGGAGAGGAUGAAAUGAUUUAUCACAAAUCUGAUGGAUCUGAAUUGUAUCCUCAAGACUAUACUGAAGAAGAGCAGUAUGAAGGCCAUGAUGCUGAGUUGACAGAAGACCAAAUAGAAUAUGUUGAAGAACAGGGGGAGGAAGAAAUUGACAAUGAUGAAGUGCUAGACAUUGAAAUCAAUGAACCUCUAGAUGAAUUUCCAGAUGAAGAAUACAUGCAGUCUUAUGGUGGGCCGCAAGGAAUGCAAGAGCAAGACUAUGUGGCUGAAGAUGAAUUAGAGGAGAUGGCUGAUUCCCAAGCCGCUCCUGAAUCUGAAGAGGGAGCUAUUGAAACUCUGGAACUCCAAAAGGAAAUUAAAGAGGAAUCUGACGAAGAGGAGGAAGAUGAUGAAGAAUCUGGACGACAGCGUUUCAAAACUGAACGGAAAGAAGGAACGGUCAUUAGGCUCUCAGAUGUACCUAGAGAGAGAAGAAACAUUCCAGAAACUUUGGGUAACAUUUAUUGCCUACCUUCCUUCCAAGAUUGUUGUGAGGUGUAA
Molecule: long non-coding RNA, 903 nt
Filed under: Phascolarctos cinereus (koala)
Lineage: Eukaryota; Metazoa; Chordata; Mammalia; Diprotodontia; Phascolarctidae
Description: lncRNA (ENSPCIG00000037177.1)
Source: RNAcentral